Long non-coding RNA from Ictalurus punctatus (channel catfish), 1801 nucleotides. NCBI's taxonomy places the organism in Eukaryota, Metazoa, Chordata, Actinopteri, Siluriformes, Ictaluridae. The record is from Ensembl.
GGAAAAACUACGUAAACUGCCGAAAUCGCAAUCGCACGAAAUUGUUUUGCGCGCUCUUUCGCAGUGAUGUCUGUCGGUAAACGAGACCUUGUAGGUGUUCUCGUAUUCGACGCACUUGACUCGAAGAGGGCUUUGACUGAACGCGUGUUGUGACGACGUCACGUGUCGAAAUCUGCGGAAAAUCUGCGGUAAUUUUGAAAAAAAAAAGGAGGGGGGGCUUGCUCGAUUCCUGGAGGUACUGGUUGAUGCUGCGAGCAGCCAUGUUGAUAUGAGUUAUGAUAUAGCUACGAGGUACAUUCAGUAUGUUGUUCUGUGCAAAUACGUAUGCAUAAGCAACAACUAUAAGCAAAUGCAAAUACCGUCAUCAUCACCCACUCCACUUUUCCUGCCUGCUACAGGUUUAUAUGGGAUUUAGAUAGUAGAAAACGUCUCUGAGAGUGUUCUGAAUUUAGGAAUGCUGCCGCUGCUGUGAUCAAAAUGAUCAAAAUGAAUAGUAAUGCGUUUUUUUUUUUCUUCAAUAAAAAAGCGGGUGAUUAAUAAAUUUGCUUUUCUGUGAAAUUGCCACGCACGAUGGCGUUUAUAACCCUGGGAGAGCGAUUCUCUCUGACAGCCGUCACGGAACACAGCAACCGCUAAUCAUUUUCAAACCAUUGGUUAAUUCGCAAACCGUUUAUUAAUUCACCUGUUUAGUCACCUUUGAUCAACUGCGCUGAAAUGAAGUGCAUUCUGGGAACUCGUAACCAUUCAUGUGACUCCUCAUGUUUUUAUUUAUUUAGGUUAUUUUCUUUUUGGUCUUUUAUUUUAUCUGAUGCCAAUUUCUAUUAUUUGUUCUUUUUUUUUUAAAUUAGUUUGGGUGCAGUAGCACACUACUCAACUAUUUUCACUAUGGAUUUUAUUAAUCCGCGAGUAGUUCUUUUAAGUAGUGAACUAGCGUUAACGUGAACAUGCUGACACAAAAUAAGCAAUCGCACACUGUAUUAGCUUUAAAGUAAACAGAGUAACCUAGAAAUUAGCAAUGUAGAUAUAAAUAUCAAUAGAUUUAAAUAAGCAAGCAGGCUGAACAAGAAGUAGCAUUAUAACAAACAGUCUAGAACUUAAACUAGCGUUGUUGUAGUAAACAGACUAGAACUUAAACUAGCGUUGUUGUAGUAAACAGACUAGAACUGAAACUAGCAUUGUUGCAGUAAACAUUCUAGAACUGAAACUAGCAUUGCAGCAGUAAACAGACUAGAACUGAAACUAGCGUUGUUGUAGUAAACAGUCUAGAACUUAAACUAGCGUUGUUGUAGUAAACAGACUAGAACUGAAACUAGCGUUGUUGCAGUAAACAGUCUAGAACUGAAACUAGCGUUGUUGUAGUAAACAGACUAGAACUGAAACUAGAAUUGCAGCAGUAAACAGUCUAGAACUGAAACUAGCGUUGUUGUAUAAACAGUCUAGAACUUAAACUAGCGUUGUUGCAGUAAACAGACUAGAACUGAAACUAGCAUUGCAGCAGUAAACAGACUAGAACUGAAACUAGCAUUGUUGCAGUAAACAGACUAGAACUGAAACUAGCAUUGUUGCAGUAAACAUUCUAGAACUGAAACUAGCAUUGCAGCAGUAAACAGACUAGAACUGAAACUAGCGUUGUUGUAGUAAACAGACUAGAACUUAAACUGGCGUUGUUGUAGUAAACAGACUAGAACUUAAACUAGCGUUGUUGCAGUAAACAGACUAGAACUUAAACUAGCGUUGUAGUAAACAGUCUAGAACUUAAACUAGUGUUGUUGUAGUAAACAGACUAGAACUGAAACUAGCG